This 405-nucleotide ribosomal RNA is filed under the name uncultured bacterium. RNAcentral describes it as "partial 16S ribosomal RNA". It matches the Rfam family "Bacterial small subunit ribosomal RNA", at positions 28 to 526 of the family's 1533-position model. The record is from RNAcentral.
GAUGAACGCUGGCGGCGUGCCUAAUACAUGCAAGUCGAGCGAAGCGGGGACGGGUGAGUAACACGUGGAUAACCUCCGAUAAGGGUGGGAUAACAUCGGGAAACCGGAGCUAAACCGGAUAAUGCUAGAUGGAUCCGAGUUGCAUUCGCUAGUGGGUAAGGUAACGGCUUACCAAGGCAACGAUGCAUAGCCGACCUGAGAGGGUGACCGGCCACACUGGAACUGAGACACGGUCCAGACUCCUACGGGAGGCACCAGUAGGGAAUUUUCCGCAAUGGGCGAAAGCCUGACGCAGCAACGCCGCGUGAGUGAUGAAGGUCUUCGGUUCGUAAAAUUCUUUCAUCAGGGAAGCGGUACCAAACCAGAAAGCCCCGGCUAACUCCGUGCCAGCAGCCGCGGUAAUUC